RNAcentral lists this ribosomal RNA (330 nucleotides) under uncultured Spirochaetota bacterium. RNAcentral's name for it is "bacterial SSU rRNA". It matches the Rfam family "Bacterial small subunit ribosomal RNA", at positions 29 to 351 of the family's 1533-position model. The record is from RNAcentral. Lineage: Bacteria; Pseudomonadati; Spirochaetota.
AACGAACGCUGGCGGCGCGUUUUAAGCAUGCAAGUCGAACGGCAAGUUGGGUAGCAAUACCUGACCUAGAGUGGCGAACGGGUGAGUAAGACGUAGGUGAUCUACCCCUGGGUGGGGGAUAGUCCGUGGAAACACGGGGUAAUACCGCAUGAGGCCUUGUGGAUAGAGCCAUGAGGUGAAAGGUGCAAUUGCACCGUCUGGGGAUGAGCCUGCGCUCCAUUAGGUAGUUGGCGGGGUAAGAGCCCACCAAGCCUACGAUGGAUAGCCGGCCUGAGAGGGUGUACGGCCACACUGGAACUGAGACACGGUCCAGACUCCUACGGGUGGCAG